ACAACUAUAACAUUAUAUUAAAUCCACACCAUAAUAUUUAAAAUUAAAAAAAAUCGAAAAAUUUAAAUAUUUAUUCAUAAAAUCUGGGUCUCACACCCUCGGCCGCUGCUCCUUAGUCUCCAAACGCUUCUACUCCCUCGUUCCUCAGGUUGAAGAUGAUUCUCCUCUUCCUCUUCCUCCUCCUCCUCCUCCUCCUCCUCCUCCUCCACUUCUUCCUCCAAAUCCCAUACCCCCUUUUCCUCCCUCUUCUGAUUAGUCUUCGGCGACACCGUUAAACCCCUCCAAUCUCUCACUCUAGAUCUUUUCAUUUACUCCGCGCCUUUACCAUAGCAAGAAGGAAAUGAUUGAGGACGACCGCCCAGAGAUCUGGGCCAGCCGCUGAGUGAAGGCUCACCCUCAUCGCAUAAUCAUCUUCAUGACUAAACUUUUUUUCUCCCUAUAGAUUGUGUAUGUGUACAUAUACAAACCCAAAUUUUUGGGUUUGAUUAUCAAUUAUGAUUCCAUGAGAAUAAUUGAUUGUAUUUUUAAUUGGGGGUUAUGAGCGGAGGUUGUCGGCGUAUUGAUGGUGAUAGUUAUUUGCUGACGAGUUGAAGUGAUUCACGAUGAUGGUGAAAAAAAGUUUCGCUCGGUGAUGGGGUAGUGGUGGUUGAAAAUUGUUUUUUUUAUAUUUUCUUUACUGGUUUUCGUUUGCUUGAGUGGUGGUGUGAUGGGAGUUGUGUGGACUAUGUGGGUGUGGGCUUGGAUCGUGAUUUUGGUUUAGAUGGUGGUGGUGGUUGUGGUGGUAGUAGUGGUGGUUCUUUGUUCCAAUAGUAUCUGAUGACUAUAUUAUUUGUUUUGAUUUUUUCCACUUAAAUUUGUUAUGUGCUUACUUGUUUGUUUGUUCUUUUACUUUUUUGUCCCUUAAUCUAAUACAAUUGAAAGAAACUUUAUCAAAAAUCUAUUUUUUUUAUUACACAAAGAUUGAAUUGCCACAUCAUUACGCCACAUCCUCAAAUUUUGAGGUGUCAUUUUAAUUGAACUAAAGUGGAAAAAAUUAAUAGUAAUUGACAAAAUUAGAAUGAAUCACUAAAAUGGAAUAUGACUUAUGGUUUAGGAUAGUAAUUUAUAUUUAAGCUUAAAAAAUCAACAAUUCUCGGCAAAUUCUAGGCUCAACUGAUAGAAUCAAAAUUCCAACAGAAAUAUACCAGAUUGAUGCAAUAUUUGGCUUUCACUAUACUAGCCAGAACAUGAGAGCAAUAUUUGAUUUGGAAAGAUUUAGGAAUUUAGCCCUCUCGUAAGCAGAUGAGCAAAAUCUUUUACAGUACUCCUUUAGUUCCACAAAAGAAGUUCUAUUUGCCUUGAAAGUAUUAAAAAAUGACACAAUGUCCUUAAACUUGCCACUAUAAUUUCAAUGUCAAGUCACCGCUACUAAACUAACAACUUAUCAUUUUUAAGGCUAAACAUAAGACAAAAAUACUUUCUUACCAAGGUUAGGAGUUUUAUUUACACAUGCUUCAAAAAUUCAAAAUGUACACAAUUAAAUAUGUUGUUUGAUUUGAACCCUCCCUCCCUCCCUCCCUCCCUUUUUAAAAAAUUGUUUAUCAUCAAGGCGGGUGAGAGGACAUAGAAUAACCUUGACCCUAUAAGAACUUGAUCCCUUGUGUGGUUAUGAAAGAAGGCCAUUAGGUUAUCAUUAGGUCCCUAACGGGAUCUGACCUCUGAUGUUAUUACUAGAUGAGGUAAUGAAUUUAAGCCUUUAAAGCAAAUAAUGAGAAAGUUGACUUUCAGUAAUCUUGAUUAUUAUUUUUUCUCAAGAGAUAGAAGAAAAGGGUCAUGAUAAUGACGACGACGACUUUUUUGACUUUGUGUAAGCUUAUUUCCUCCUUCUUUAGCAUUAAUAAUUUUUCUAUAUCAGGAAAGAAAAAAUGUUUCGAAGAGAAAAUAGCAAGAUUUCUAGAAGCAUACUCCAGACACCUGGGAAUAAGGAUAAUAAUAAUAUGAUAAUGAACACAUUUCAUUUUCUCACUUCAGCUUAUGAAAUUAUAUCGACAUGAUGGACUCUGUAUAUAUUUAGUGGUGAUCAUAGGAAAAACAGAUAAUUCUUAUUAAAUCAAAUGUCAGUCAUAGACCAAGUGAAAUAAACACCCGAAAAAUGUUUGGUAGUGACUAAAUAGUGUGCAUAUGCCAUGUCUCACUAAAAGUAGCAGAUUCAUUAAUCCUUUGGGCUUGACAAAUCAGUAUUAAGGAAAUAAACGAAGAAAAGAAAGUUGGAGAGGCACAAAAAGAUAAACAAACACAAGGUAUAGAGUAAAAGAAAACAUUUCCAAUGUCAUAUAUAGCCAUGUACCUCUGAACGCAAAUACGGAACAGAUACAGCUGAAAAAACAAAUUCAGCAACAAUGUAAUAAGAAGGAGGUUUUCCAUUGAUGUCAUGUGUGCUAGUAUGAGCCUUGUGUGAGUUGCAAGUUUUGUAUUAAACUCAAACGUCUCUGAAUUACGUACGAAGAACCUUAACUAGAGCAUUAUCUCCAGUAUAUUUUUGAGAAACAAGAUAACUGAAUGUUGACACAAAGUUGUAAACUAAGACUUGAGCACAGACACCAUGACAAUUUUAUAACCCAUUAAACAAAUAUUUGCCAAUUUCAUAGCCUACCAUAUGUGACAUGCAACCUGCAUACAAAUGGCCUUUUUUUUAACACGCCCACAGCCCACUUUGGAGGGAUAGCAGUACAAGUACAAAUAAAUUUCAUAAUCUAACAUAAAAAAUCUCUCAAUAACAAUAUCAUUAACUUCACUAAACAAGCCUCACAACAAGGAGGAAAGAAAAUUUGAGAAUACAAGUCACUAUAUGGUUGGACUAGCCCAAGUGAAGUUUAUUUAAAUGUAAAGGAACCAUGUUUUAGUACUUCUGUUUGUAUUCUUUCCCUUCUCAUUUGCAAAAAGAAAAAAGAAAAAAAGUACCCUUAUUGAUGAAUGAAAAAUACUUUUUAAAAUUUUAUAAAUGAGAUUAUGUGUAAAACAGAUGAAAUAACAAGUUAAAUUACUCUAAUUAAUUCUGCUUUAUUAAUGAAGUAAUUAGUUAUACUACUAAUCUUAUUUACCAAACAAGUGUACAUAUUAUUUUAAGUUUAUUUUCAAAUGUAGGUUUAAUAUAGUUAUACGAUUUUAAAUUAUAAUAUAAUAUCAAACACGACUUGGGUGUAUGAGAUCGUUCUUGUCAAAAAUAAGAGUGUUAAAUUCCGUUUAAAACUAACAAAAGAAAAAAAAAUGUUAUUUUUUUAAUCUUAAAUACGUAUGUAUGUAUGUAUAGAAUGAGGAUCAGAUCGGGAUACAGACCCUAUUUUUUAUUUUUAUUUUGUUUUUAUUUUAAAACAACGAAAAAAAAUUAAUAUUUUAUGAAACUAAAUUUUUUUCAUAAUACAAUGUUUUGGGUGUAAUUUGAAUACAUAUAACAAAAUAUGUAUGUACAAACUUGUUUUGUUAUAUAUAUUCAAAUCACACUCAAAACACGUAAAAAUUUCAGUUCCAUAAAAUAUUAAAUUUUUUUUUAGUUAUUUUUUAAAAAAAGUAUAAACCGGACCCUGUAUGUAUCAGCACGGUUCAAGAGCAGACCACUUAACUGACAUAACUUCUUAAGUAGCAGACCUAUAUAUCAUCAGCCUUCCCAAAAUUUUGCAUCAGGACAUUCUCUCUCUUUUCUCCAAAACAUAACUCGUGCUUUUCUCUCCUUCUCUCCAAAGCAGUUGAAACCCCUUUCUCUUUCUUCACUUCUCUCAUUUCUUCACCUGUUUGAAACCCACGAUGAAACCCCUCAUCAUCACGACCCAUCCUCACUUCUCUCAUUAACUUAAUCGAUCGCAGCACGAGACCAAAUCGAACGCAAAAAUUGCAGCAAUCAGAGACCAAAUCGAAAGGGGCAAACACAACAAACGGGAACCUUCGGUAAAUUUCAGAUUUAUUUUCCGAUUUCGUUAAGAUUUAACUAUGUGAUGAUUUCACUUUUUGAUUCGAUUUGGGAAUUUCUAGCCUUUGGGAAUUAGCCCUAAUUUCUUAUUUUAGGGCUUUUAAUUAAUUUUUAAAUUUUGGGAUGAACAUCUCUUAAGGAUUGUAAAAACUUGAUUUGUCCUUUGUUUUGGUUUUAAAUGAGUGGGUAUGAAAAAGAAAGACUUCGAUUUUGCUCAUCACAGACAUCGAUUCGGUAAGGGUUUUUCCUAUCGGAUGACUUCAAUUCAUUUUUUCGAUUUUUCGAUUUGGGGGUUUUCUUUUAUCUCUGCUGCUAAACUUCUAAAAGGGCUGGUUUCUUAAUUUUUUGUUAUUUUUUGUUGCUGUUUUUCUCUUCUAUCUGUUAAAAUUCAUUUUUCAAUUUUUCAAUUUUUGCUUAGCUGGUAUCUUGAAUUAUUGUACAGAACUAAGUUGUCAGUAAAAUCUGAAUACAUAUAAACCUGUAGAUUUUCAGUGUUGUUUUCAUAUGCAGAUUUCACCCACAGUUUUUUUCAUCUGCAUUUGCUUCCAAUCAUUUGUCACAUUUGUGGUAGGGCUAUGUGAAAAACUAUCCCUUUGUGUUUAAUUGUUUUAUUGGUGAUUUUACAGGUUCAAGUAAAUUUCUGUUUGUCCAGGUGUAAAUAUAAUGGAUGACAUGGACCAUGAAUUAGGGAGUUGCGGGGAUAAUGUAGAAAUGAAUUUGGAAAUAGAAAUGGAUGGGGAUGACUUGAGUGGAGAGGGGUUGAAUGUUCACAGUACUAAUACUGUUGUGUACUAUCCUCAAGUAGGAGAUGAGUUGACGCCUAAGCUUGGUCAAGAAUUUCAAACAUUAGAUGAUAUUCACAACUUUUACAAUACAUAUGCUAUGCAUGCUGGUUUUAGUGUACGAAAGUUUUGGGAGAAAAAAAGGGCGGGUAGCAAUGAGAUUUGUAGGAAGGAGUAUGUGUGUUCUAAGCAAGGAAAGGGCAAAGUAUUAGCCGAUGUGGUUGUAAAAAGAAAACGGGGAUCUACAAAAGAAGGUUGUGGUGCAAGAAUUAUAGUGGUAAAAAGAAAUGACUUGUACGUAAUUACAAAAAUUGAGGAGGGUCAUUCUCACCCAUUGUCAACCCCACAUAAGAGGCAUCUUUUACGAUCACACCGUAAUGUGUCAAUGGCCCAAAAAUCUUUGAGUCAGCAACUUAGCACGGUGAAUAUACCACAAUACCAACAAUACAAUUUUCUUGCAGUGCAGGCGGGUGGCUUUGAAAAUAUUGGUUGCACGCAACGAGAUUUGUAUAACUUUGAAAGAGACAAGCGCAAUGACUUGAAGGGACAUGAUGGGGAUAUGUUGAAUGAGUACUUACAGUUAGAACAACAAAAGAAUCCUUCAUUCACUUUCACAAUUGACACAGACGAUGAAAAUCGGAUCACUCGUUGUUUUUGGGCCGAUGCAACUUCUAGACGGGCUUAUAGAUUUUAUGGUGAUGUUGUCAUUUUUGAUACCACAUACAAUACUAAUCGUUACGGAAUGAUAUUUGCACCACUAAUGGGGGUUAAUAAUCAUGGUCAAACUAUUGUAUUUGGUUGUGCUUUCUUAAGUGAUGAGACCAUAGCUAGUUUUGAAUGGCUUUUCAAGUGUUUUUUAGAAGCAAUGUCAGGCGAUGCACCUGAGAUGAUUAUCACCGAUCAGGAUCCGGCUAUGACAAAUGCCAUUUUACAGAUUCUUCCGAAUACAUUUCAUAGGUAUUGUAGUUGGCACAUAUUGACCAAUUUUUCAGAGAAGAUUGAUUCGGUAAAAUACAGUGCUUACUAUAAGGAGUUUUCAGAUUGCAUUUGGAAUUCGGAGACUGUGGAAUCAUUUGACUCUACUUGGGUAGCUUUGAUGGAGAAAAGUGGGUUGAAUGCUAAUAAAUGGCUACAAUCAAUGUUUGACAUCCGUUGUAGAUCGGUACCCGCGCAUGUGAAUCAUUUUUUCUCAGCCGGCAUGUCAAGUAGCCAACGAGCUGAGAGUUGUCAUGCAUUCUUUAAAAAAUUUGUUUCUAAAAGGAAUUCUUUAGUGGAUUUUAUGAUUCAGUUUGGUCGGGGCCUUCAGCAGCAACGACAUGCAGAGUUGGUUUCGGAUAACAAAGAUUUGGUUGAGAGGCCGAGAAUGAAAUAUCGUCAUGACUUCUUAGUUCAAAUGGUUGACAUUUAUACACACUCUAUGUAUUAUAAAUUUGAAGAAGAGUUGUGCGAGAGUUUGAAUUAUAGGUUUGAACUUAUGAAGGAGGAUGUCAACUACCAUGUAUAUAAGAUUUACCGAAGGAAUGUCAGCAAGUUUAAAGUCAGGGAGAUUCAGUAUGACAAAUCCUUGGAUUAUGCAACAUGCACAUGCAAAAAGUUUGAGAGUUUGGGAAUCUUAUGUCGGCAUGUGAUAGCUUAUUUGCAUAAGUAUCAUGAUCUUAACAAAUUACCUGCAAAAUACAUUUUAAAAAGGUGGACAAAAACAACAAAAUCAAGUUGUGUAAUUGAUGAUAAGGGGGUGGAGAUAAAAGAUGACAAGGGAUACUUACUGUCGCGAAGUCAAUUGAUUCAACAAUCUUUAGAGAUGAUUGAUCGUGCUCUCACAAAUGAAGAAGCCAUAAUUGCAUUAAAAGAAUGUUUCAAUAAUGGAUAUGAAAAGAUUAAGCAAAUAAUUGGGAAUAAUGGUUCCAAACGAAAUAAUGAAAUGGAGUCCGGUGGAAUGAGUGCAUCCAAGUCAGUUAACAUGACUGGGACAAGUGAGCCGACUUACAUUGAGCCGAACCAAGUGCGUGCAAAAGGGUGUGGCAAAAGGCUGAAGGGUGGCAAAGAAAGGGCUUUGGGGAAAACAAAAAACCCCAAGGGGAGGCGUUGUCAUGGAUGUAGCCAAGUUGGUGUCACACACGACAAAAGAAACUGUCCGACUCUUAAUAAUCGGUAAACAAUUUUGUGUCUUUUGACUUUGUUAUUUGAUUCAAUUUAACUUAGCUUUUUGUUGAAAUAUGACUUUGCUAUUUGUUGUGCCUUGUAGGAUUGGAGAAUCAAAUGUUGGCGCUAAUCAGGAUCCAAGUGUAGAUGAGGAAUGUGAUUCACCCACAUGUUGAACUGAGAUUGCUAUAACAACACUUGUAUAUCUAUAUAUCGAGUGUCCUUCAGAAUUGCAGUAAUCAUGGGACUGGCGUUUAAAGUCAGGUAGUUGUACCACUUUUAAAGUCAGGUCUUGAUCUGAUUGUUUGCAAGUUCAUUUUUUCAAGGUCUUGAUUUGAUUGUUUGCAUUGCCAUUAUUUUCUUCAGGUUAAAAAGGGAGAGAUUCUUCAGGUCAAACUCAGGAGAUACAUUUCUGCCUAUGCCUUCCUGUUGUGGUUCUUCUUCUCUGUUUGUACCAACUAAUGUCUGUCAAGGGCUGGAAUUUGUACCAACUAAUGUUUGUCAAGGGCUUGUUGCUUUGCAGCAGUGCUUGGGACAAUUGUAGCUAAUUUUAGAUUUGAUUGCUAAUUGUUGAAGAAAUUUGUAUUCCACAUUUUGGGAUGGAAGGUGUAAAUCCUUGAUAUACUUAAUGCUAAACUAGAUGAAUUUUCAUGCCAAUUAAGGGGCAAAUGUUCUUCAAAUAGAUUGCAUUUUUAUGAUGUAAUAUCUAAAACAUUAGUUUUAGCUAUUAUCAUGCACGUUUGGUAGCAGACUUGGUUGUCAAUUUCCAUGUAACACCACUCACCCUGUUCUAAACUCGUUGUGGGUACUUGAAAAGUACCAGGUAUAUGGUGAUUCAGUCCUUGAAAAACCUUGAUAGAAUUUUAUCAUAAUCCCGAGCACUAUGUAAAUGAACAAAUGAAAUGAAGAAAAAUCCGACUCUUGGCUUGUCAAAAUAUAAAUCUCAUUUGGAACAUGUAAAUGCACAAGUAAGAGGUCUUACACUGGCCGUAAGAGGAACAACCAUGCCUGUUUUCUUACAAAAAUACAUUCUUUAGCUUGAAAUUUCAAUUAUAUGUUUUUUUUCACUUCAUGGUAUAGUUUUAGCUAUUAUCACUAAAUAUGUGUUGCAAAUGGAUUCAAAAUGGAUUCAAAAGGACAUUACUGAAUAUGUGUUGCAUAUAAGUAGCUGUACAUAAGGAGCUACACAUCAAAAUAAGGACAUAAAAUACUGGAUAAAGCAACAUGCAAUAUCUUUGCUUCAUUACAAUCCAUUCAUUACAUUAAAAAUAAAAUUGAAGUUCCUGAACACAAAUCCCACUAAACCAUUACAUUCUUUUGUAAUACUACUAAACUAUUACAUUCUUUUGUACAGGCAAAAGCAGAAUGACUGAAUAUUGAUAAAGAAAUUGGAUUCCCUUCAUUUUUUCCUCAAAGUUUCACAUGGUAACCAUCUGAUCUAGCUUUUCAAAAUAGUCUUGAGUUACAGGAUGGAUAUGCUGCAAGAUUUGAUUGAGAAGCUUCAUCCACACUAACAAAAGCAGUUUGGUAGUACUGUCAUUGUAAAGCAGUGAGAAGCAAGCCUGUUAGUACUGUCAAUGGACCAACAUUGAUGAAAAAAGAAAAAGGAAGGUGACUAGUAAAAUCAAGAAAAUUUUCAAAUUUUCAUACCCACUCAUUUAAAACCAAAACAAAGGACAAAUCAAGUUUUUACAAUCCUUAAGAUAUGUUCAUCCCAAAAUUUAAAAAUUAAUUAAAAGCCCUAAAAUAAGAAAUUAGGGCUAAUUCCCAAAGGCUAGAAAUUCCCAAAUCGAAUCAAAAAGUGAAAUCAUCACAUAGUUAAAUCUUAACGAAAUCGGAAAAUAAAUCUGAAAUUUACUGAAGGUUUCCGUUUGUUGUGUUUGCCACUUUCGAUUUGGUCUCUGUUUGCUGCAAUUUUUGCGUUCGAUUUGGUCUCGUGCUGCGAUCGAUUAAGUUAAUGAGAGAAGUGAGGAUGGGUCGUGAUGAUGACGUGGGUUUUAAACAGGUGAAGAAAUGAGAGAAGUGAGAAAAGAGAAAGGGGUUUCAACUGCUUUGGAGAGAAGGAGAGAAAAGCACGAGUUAUGUUUUGGAGAGAAAAGAGAGAAUGUCCUGAUGCAAAAUUUUGAAAAGGCUGAUGAUAUAUAGAUCUGUUACUUAAAAAGUUAUGUCAGUUAAGUAGGCUGAUGAUAUAUCUAUCUAUCUAUCUAUAUUCUAAAGAGAGUAAAAAGAGUGGUAAAUAUUUGUUGGGGCUGUAUCACAUUAACAAUUUCAUUCUCUCUUUAUUUAAACUUUCAAUUCUCUUAUUUUUUUAUAUUCCAAACCCUAUUGGAAAAUUGAUUUGGCGCUACCGAACCAUGUUUCUCUUUAUAUUCUCGUCCUUCUAGAGAAAUUUCUCGGAAACCUCUGUACCUAUUUAACAGUCUGCUGGAAGCCUUUCUGCUCUCUUUAUCCCCAUAUAUCUGAUACUAAUCUGAUAUCCCCCCCCGCAGAUUUGAAACUAACAAAACCCUUUGCUCCUCCAGCUCUCUAUUUCUCUUUCUUUUAUUGCUUUGCCAAAUUCUUUAUUUCUCUAUAAUCUCCUCUUCUUUUUCUUCUUUGCGCAACCGUUGUUAGCGGAGAAAAGUGGAUUUAACCUAUAAAAAAUCCCACUACUGCAAAUUGCUACACAUCUCGCGUUUAUAUGUACUUUUGUUCAUCGAGUCUCAACAACCCACCCAGUUCCAUGGAAGACAUAUUCGAUUCUUCCCUAAAUCUGGAAGAUACCCACCUUAAUGAAGGGUUCAAAGAAGGUUACAACGAUGGUUUAUUUUCCGGAAAAGACGAAGGUCGCCAAGUGGGUCUCAAAUCGGGCUUUCAAAUUGGUGAGGAGUUAGGGUUUUACAGAGGAUGUAUUGACGUUUGGAACUCUGCAAUUCAACUAGACUCCACGUGUUUUAGUUCCCGGGUUCAAAAAGCCAUCAAACAAAUGGACGAGUUGGUCCAAAAGUAUCCGUUUUCCAACCCGGAGAAGGAGUCUGCUAGUGAUAUUAUGGAUUCGCUGAGGUUGAAGUUUAAAGCUAUUUGUGCUACAUUGAAUCUGAAGUUGGAGUAUAGUGGCUAUCCAAAAGGCUCCGAGAAUGUAGAGUUUUAAUUCGAGUUUCAGUUGUGCCGGCCAUAUGUUUGAUACUUGUUUUGAUUGAUGAGCUAUGAACAUGUCUUUUAUUAGUGCAUUGAAUUUAAUUUUCCUUCUUACAUGUUAUUUGGGUUUGUGAUUGUUCUUUAUAGUAUAAAAGUGCCAAAAUUUAGUCUUUUUAGCACUAAAAAAUAUGCAAGUACAAUUCAAACUAAACUUGUAUCCCAUUUUCUGAUUAUCAAUUUUGUAUGACUAGUGUACAAAAUGGGUAUGGGGUUCAGUGAUGAACAUUUUAAAGUAAAUGCAACCCCGAAGCAAUGUGGAAUAUCCUUUCAAAGGUAAAUAGGUAAGAUAAUUCUCUUUGUAUCUUUGAGAUUCAAUGUAUCUUGUAAGCAUGAAUAGACUGCUCUGGGUUAAUUAUCAAUAUUUAGAGAUAUUUGAUGACUAAUCAUUUGCUUCUUAUGCUUAGCGUGGGAGUAAUUUUCUCUUGUGAUCUUAAUUCAGACUUGUAAAUUGCAAUGUCGCAUUCUCGGCCUGAAUCAUAGCGUGUCGGCCGUUAUGAAAUACAUGCACUAGGUUAAGUUCUACAUCAUAAAUACACAUAUAUGCUAAUGGUCUAAAAGGGGUUGGGCCUUCAUGUGCAUCCUUUGCUAGGGUUCACUAUGAACGCCAAGAGAGACUGGGUUACCGAAUUAAGGAAGUAAGACUUCCAUGCGAAUGAUAACAAUUUUCUGACUAAUAUCUAAACCACUUGAAUUCUACAAACUACAAAGUUGAAAAUUAGAGCACUACAAUGUUUUAGCUCUACUGCAAAGUUUGCAAUUUUGAUUAAUCUUUUGUUGUAUGUGAUUAUUUGAACAUAUAUAUUCUUCGUGUAUGUUUUCAAAAUGUUAUGUUGACAGAAAUACAUGAGACCUAGUACUCACGAAUCUUAUCAACCUAAGGUAACAUGCCUAUCUUCCAUAGUUUCGCUUCUCAAUCUUGUGAAGAUCAUGGGUUGUUAAAUAAUUAGAUGACUACUUGGACAUAAUUUGGCAAGUAGGAGCUCCUUAAUAUUCCUUCCAUUGCAGUUGGGUUUCUUUUCUUGGUCUAAGCUGUAUAGUUUUGACAUAUUAUGUGGAACUCUUGGACUCUGAAGUCUGAAAUUCUUUUCAAUGUUCCUAAAUAAAGGCCAAACAUUUAUAAAGUCGGGUUUUGUGGAAAUCUUAGAAAUGAUUAAUCAUAUUAGUAGGCCUUUUUAGUAGAAUUGUGUUAAGAUUUAUGGUAAGGAGGGAGUGUAGUUGGAAGACAUCCUAGCUGUUGUGGAUUAGUUGUUACAUCGUUACUUGAUUCAGCUUUGUUAGAAGAGGUUCUGCUUAGGUUUGGACCCUGUUUUUGAAGCUGGCUGCAAUAGCACUUGAGUAGAAAAUUUAUGCUAGGGAUUAUCAAUCUAUUUCUAUUGUGUUUAGAUAUGUCAGAAAAUUGAUAGGAAACUAGUGUUCUAGGUAAUUCAGUCCAUUUUUCAUUUUUAGCUCUUAAAUAAUAUGAAUGAGAUUACUAUCCUUAGGCAUGCAAUAAAAUCCUUCUUCAUAGGAAUCUCUUUCAUUGAGGAAUGAGAUUUCCAUCCGCUCUUAUGUCUACCUUUGAUGGACUUUAAUAGAAUAAGAUUGAUAAUGCCAUUCCUACUGUCGAUUCUUGUCAUCCAUGGUGCCUUGAGUUGGUGAAUGGCUCUAGAGAUAAAUGGUGCAGGCAUAAGUUCGAAUAUGCGGUUUUGAGUAUUCGGUACCCUCAUUGUAUGCAGACUUUUAGUAUAUCCAUGCUAGUCCAUGCACCCUGCAAUGGCAGGACUGAAUAACUGUCUUUCUAGUUUUAUUUAGUUUUUGAUCUGACUUCAAAAAAAAUUUCCCCUUUGGUCAAGGCUCCAGUCAAACGUCAUCGUCUCCUGUUUUUUUGUUAGGUUUUAGCUGCUAUAUUAGGAAGUUCAACUGUUUUUUUGGCUUUGAUUAAAAUGUCACAUGAAUAUCGGCUGAUAUAUUUUGAAUUUAUGGCAUGGAAAAAGUUGUUCUCUUUGUACCCUGACUACAUAACACAUUGCUACAGUAAAUAUAUAUUGUUAGUUUUUAAUUUCCUAGCAUUUAAUUUAUGAAUAAAAAUCUAAGAAAAAAAAGUUUUGUGUAGCUUUAAAACAACUAACUGGAUACUGUUAACAGAAGAAAUCUUAAUUUGAGCUGGCAGCCAUGGGUGCAACCAUACCGAACCCAAGUUCCAAGAACUGAUAUGAAUUGUGACAUUUCACCUACUGUACAUGGUUAUAAUAUAAUCACACAGACAUCUUAGACACACUCACAUUCUUGUUGUUUCUUUGGUUUUGUAGAUUAGCACCUAUUCCACUAUUCAUGAAUAUAACAAAGGAGAUAUGGUCAUAUGGAAUUAUUGUCUUGUGGCGUAGGCACCAUCAUUUAACAUCGAUCUUUUUCACAUCUCUGGUAAACUCUGUAUGAUACUUGCAAGCAUAUUGAUUAUAUGUAUGUCGGCAUGAAAUUGUUUUUAAUUUCUGAAUACAAAAUUAAGUAGUAUCAUUUUUGCCUAUAUAACCACUUUUCAUUGUGGAGUCGUCAUCAUAACAUCUAUAGCUUUCCUAUUUACGUGCAUGGGGUCUAUGAUUUGAUAGUUAACCAAAUUAAUUCUCCGGUUGAGAUGAGUCAGCUGCAGGCCUACUAUUUGUAGUUGUUUGGCCUAGGCAGGGCCCAUUGCUAGAACCAAGUUUUUUUGAUCACAUGAUCAGGCUGGGUUUGGUAAAAAAAGCUAGGCAAAUCAUAUGGAUCAGGAUGCCUGAAAAGCAUAGUGUUGGAUAGAUAUUAUAGAAAGUUGUGCAACAUUCAAACUUGAUUUUAGCAUUAAUUUUUCUCCAGGGUGCAUGUUAUUAAAUGUGUAGCUUACUUUUCAUAGUACAUUUUUCCCAGGUAAAAAUUGCUCUUGUCUGUAGCUUCCGUGCUGGCAGAGGGUUGUUAUAAGAAGGUGUGCGCUGCUCUGCCCAAUAUACUAGUAAGUCAGAAAUACUAUAAGUAAGUAUUACCGCAUGUCAUUAAUUACUAUGCACAUCACAUGGACACAGACCACAGUUUAUUUCGGGAUUUGAACUGAAGUAGUAGUUAAUUUUGGGGGUUUGGCGCUUCCGCUUGCACAAUUAAGAACAUGGAUGGGUUAUUAAUGAUCACGUAGUUUUUGCAUUCAAACAAUUGAUGAUCUGAUUUGUGAAAUUUGUAAAACAUAUAUGUUUCCUAUCUUAUGCAGUUUAUGAUGUAUGUUUUAAUCCAUACAUUAAUAUUGCAGACACGAUCACAUUGUUUUGAUCAAAGAAAGAAAGACCAAACUAUUAGUAUAAUAAAAUUUGCAACUAUGGCCAGGGUAGCUGAUCACAUGGGACUUAAUAUUAUGACAGUGAGCUCACAUGUGGCCCUACCCCAACAGCCAAGACAGAGAACGUUGCUGAGAAGCUAUAUAUAUAAUGUGCUUUCUGUGGUGGGGCUUUGCCGGAUAAGGCUAUUGUGCUACAAGUGCUUGGUUGCUAGGGUGCAUGGCCAUCUAGGUCCAUAACACUGCCAGCCCCUUUGUUUUUUAGCUUACAGUUACUGGAAAAUAAUGAUACUAAUUUAGUUGCUUAUGCAUUUCACAGUUUUUUCCCUCUUUCCCCCUUUUUGGCUGUGUAUGUAAUGUCUACUCCUAAUCUAUAGAUUUUCGGGACUGUUUAAUGGCCGGAUGGCUGACCUCACUAUUGAAUACUCUUGUGUUCCAAUUAGCAAAGCAGAUAUUAGGGUUAGGUUUAGUAGCAAGGAAAUCACUCUGCUUAAUUUUGUAGACUUAAGGAAGUAGAUGAUACAAUGCAAGUGCAUCUGUAUAAUCGGUUGUAUUAUGCCAUAAAUGAAGCAUUUUAGAUCAUAGUCUUGUUCUGUUUUUACUUUUUACAGAGGCAGACUACUUCCUCCAGUUAAUUUCUCAAUUGCGUCCAAAAUUUGCAUCCUUGGGAUCAUCGGGUAAAGUAAUGUUAAAUAUGUUUGCAGAUAAAACUGAUCUUUCAUAAGGAGUCUUCUGAUCAACUAAUUAAGAAUUAAUUUCUUUAAUUUUGAUGAAAUGAAACUUGGUUUUGGUAGAUAUACAUCACAGAUCAUGGGUUAUGCAGGCUUCACAUACAGUUCUCCAACGCUUGCUUCAGCCAUCAGCAACCUUGUCCUUGCCUUUACCUUCAUACUUUCCGUCAUUUUCAGGCACUUUUCCUUUAUUCGUCUUGUACUAAUUUCUUUGCUGAACUAUCUUUUUAAGCUUCAGCGUAGACUUAAAUUUUUACUUGAAAAAUGUUUUAUCAUCCUACUUUACUGUCAUAAACUUUAACUGAAUCGACACAAUGACACGUCUUGUAAAUACUGUAACUUAUAGUGUACUGUGUUUUCUGAUAUGUUUUUUAGUUAUUCCUGUAUUUCUUUAAAAAAUUCGGGAGUCUUCCCUUCCUUUUAUGGAUGGAUAGGAUGGAAAAGGUUGCAAUGAGAAGCUCUAGCAGUCGGGCCAAAGUCUUGGGCGCCAUAGUAUCAAUAUCAGGUGCAUCUGUAGUCACACUUUAUAAAGGUCCCAAACUCAUACCCAUUGCAUCCCCAUCUCUCUAUCUUCAUCAGCCUCUAAGCUCAAAUUCAAACUGGAUUCUUGGCGGCCUUUUCCUUACAACAGAGUAUAUUUUGGUUCCAAUGUGGUACAUUGGUCAGGUACAAUAUUUUUCCAACUCCAUUUUCAGGAUAGGAUGUAUUACAAUUUAUAUGCCAAUGUUGCUUUCAAAAGCGGAUGUAAAUUAUAAUUUUCCAUUUUGUUACAUUUGAUAGGCACAAAUUAUGAAGGAAUACCCGGCAGAAUUGACAGUUGUCUUCUUCUACAACUUAAUUGUGAGCAUCCUAGUGGCAAUUGUAGGAUUGAUUACAGAACCAAACUUGAGUGCAUGGAAAAUUAAACCUGAUAUAGCAUUGGCCUCUAUUAUGUGCUCAGUAAGUAGGCUAGUGCUGGUACAAUUUAACUGGGUUUUACACUCUUUUAGUAAUGUGUAGACUAAUACAGAGUUGUUGUCCAUAUAGGGUAUCUUUGGUUCAUUCUUGAGCAAUGCUGUUCACACAUGGGUUUUGCGCAUGAAGGGGCCUGUCUUUGUUGCAAUGUUUAAGCCGCUGUCAAUUGCUAUUGCAGUUGCUAUGGGAGUCAUUUUUCUUGGUGACACUCCCUAUCUCGGAAGGUACCAUUCAUAUCUGUAUUACAGGACCUCGUAGAAAUAUCACUUUUCCUCGUGGAAUCAUCACUUUCCUAGCGAAAAUAUCAAUUCCUUCCCUAUAUACAUACAUAUACACUUUAAACACUCCAGAGGACAGCAACUUACCCAAUAAGUUGUAUCAUGCUUAGCUUUCCAGUAUGCAGGUUGAGAUAUUGAAAAGAAAUGGAAAAAAGUUGAUUUUCUUGAAUCAGAUAAAGAAGCUGGAUAUAAUGCUUCCUUCUCGGUUUCUCAUCAGCAUUGAUUUUUUACUAGCUUUGAUUUUCCCAUUUUGCAGUGCUAUUGGUGCAACAAUAAUAUCUAUUGGGUUUUACACUGUGAUGUGGGGAAAAAGCAAAUGAAGAGAUGAGCCAAGACAAUGAUAUUACAAGUUUGGAAUCCCCACCAACCCAGAAAACUCCUUUGUUGCAAAGCAGGAAGAAUCAAGAUAUGGAAAGCAGAUGAACGAAAAACUUGGCUAAUUGUUCCCUUCCACUUGCAUUGCCAAUACAUUUUACAUCCUGCUUUCAAGGGGCUCUAGAUUGAGACAGACAACUUGUUAAUAGUUUAGGAUCAGAGCCUAACAUUAUGAAGGAACUAAGAUACAAAAGGAACUAUGUGGAUAAGCAAAUGAUCACAAAUGUAAAAGGUAGUACGAGAAAUAGAAGUCUCAUCACUUGUGGAAAGUAAUCUGAAGAAUGACCAUCUUUUUAAGUAUGACUUUAUACCUAGCAAGAGAGAGACUUCCAUUCUGUUAUUUUACAAACUGAAAAGGUAUAUAACGAAAGCUUUCAAAAUUAUUCCAUGGCAGAAUCUUAAUAACCAAGUGAAUUUCAUCCAAGCGGACAAUGAAGAGUUAUGCUAAUGCAAUCCAUUAAAAGAUCAGUUGUAAAAUCCUUUCAGGUUGCAUAUCAAAGUAGGCUGUUACAUAUCAGAAUAGAAUUAAUCGUGAAACUUUCCCAUAUAUGUUGCUAUUACAUGCAUAUAAAGUGAAUAUGUUCCUACUAGCAACAAAUUGAGAUUGAAAAGAACCUCAAUAAGAUUUUUGUUCCUACUAGCAACAAAUGUACUGGAAAAUUGCGGCAAAAUAAAUUUGUUCUUAGGACUUUAAAAUCUAUAAGAACCUCAAUAAGAUUUUUGAAAAGAGAAGAUUUACAAAAAUAGUGAUAUCAUGACACCAAUUGAGAUUGAUUCUGUGCUUCAGUCACCAUUGCCAAAGAUGUAUCCAUACAAGGAUAUGCAAAAAAGGCUGAUAUUAUCAAUCAAAUGCCAGUGCCCACAGCAGAGGCAAAUGGAACUGUAUUUUAUAAGGGAGCUAAAACCCGAAGACAGUCGAGGAAGGAGAAUCCCAUGCACCUUCCUAUACAAUCUCCUUUCAUGUCUUGAGAUCAUCAGACAUGGCUGAAGGUAUGCAAUGUGUGGUGAGAAUAUCCGAAGUUGCAGCCUUUGCAUUUUUGGUCUGUAAGACCACAAUCUACAUAAAAGUAUGAAGAUGCUUGAUGAGAUUUUAACUUACAAACAACAGACACAUAAAUAGAAGUAAAGAGAAUUCAUUUUUUCUGUAAGAUAACAUUCUAAAGCCUAAACACAACUAAAUGAGGAUUGUGCAAGACACACACCAAAGGGAGAGAGAGAGGAGAACCUGUUCAUAUUCAAGAUGAAACUUCAAGAAUUCUUCAUCACAAGACUCCACCAUGUAAGCUAAGCUCUUCAAAUUCUUAACAGGUUUGCCAUUGAAAGCAAGAACCUAUGAAAACAAAAAAAUUGAAAGAAAAAAAAGACUGAGCUGGGCACAAAAAGGUGCUAUGUUACUCCAACCUGGAAAAGAGAGUCCAACUUUUUUUUGUUGAUUUUGUAUUUUUUUUCUCCUGAAUAAUAAAGCUUGUAUAAGAGAUGCUUAGAUUAUUUUCUUUUUGAUUGCUUUUAAUAUGAAACUAUUAAGACUAAAAUUAGGAAGUGAUAUUUCCACAUCGUUCCCCUCAAAUAAAUAGUGAGUGGGACUCAAAGCCAUGUGAAAGAGACCAUGUGAAUUAUGAAAAUAUCAAUUCCCGAAAAUUAUUACUAGGGGAAAAAAAUAUGUCCAAGUAUGCCUUGUGCAAAAAAUACCCUAAGACUCAGAUUUCCAGCCAGAGAAGUAAUAGUAUUUUACCACAACCAAAAAUAAUGUGCCAUAGUUUCUUUACAACCUGAGUGUUGACUAUGUCUUCAUACCCAAUAUUGAUAUCAGCCACAAGUACCUGUAUAUUUUAUGCGAAAGAAUGAGCACCUAAUCAAUGCACUUGACAUUAGCCUGAAUAUAAGUUGCACUUGGGCAUGGUGAUGAGAGAAAGAAAAGGGCGUUGGUGGAGCGAAUUAAUAAAGGAAAUCUACCUGAGAAACAACGACUACUUGUUCAUCAACCGAUUGUGCCAUUGCAUGUAGAUGCUUGUCCAAUAGCUUCACUGGGGCAUCAAAGUCGUAAUCUUUUCCAUACUGAACUCCAGGAAAAACAAGAGUUAGGAGUAGAUGAUUUGAAAACCUUCUAUUAAGUCAACCAUGAAACAUCUAAAAUCUGAGAUUGUUUCAGAGUGAGAGUUUUAUAUAACAAUUACACUCGAGCACCAUUUUACAUACUGUAAAGUGAAUGACUCAAUCAUGUAUCAGCUCUAAUCAUUAAACAUACAUCGGAGCUGACUUUUCUUUAAACCCAAGUAUUGACCCUUUCUAUUAUGUAAAACAAAUCAACAAAAGUCAUAUAGCAAAGAGAUAAAAAAAAUUGCUUAAAUAUAUUUUACUACCUUAAACUAUUACCGUUUUUCCACAUUGAUGAUUCACCUUUUAAUUUUGUCAAUAAGAUGAGUAAACUAUUAAUUUUUUCCACUUCCGUCUAAUUUCUCUUGACACGUUAAAAAUUGUUGACGUGGCCGUCAGAGUGGGCCCAUCUACAACUGAUGUGUCUUAAAAUAAUAAUUUCUUCACCAUUUUGUUAAAUUAAAAUUUGUAAGCGGGGGUAAAGUUGGUAAAACGACUUUUAUUCUAUAUUAAAACAGAACAAACAAAUUCUCAUACAAAAUUAUCAUAUUUCUCUCUAUACAACCAAACAUAUAUACAAAAAUAUUGAAUAGACAUGUCUUCACUUAUGAGCCCAGAUCUGACGAACAAAGUCUACCCAGAACAAUUUCAGCCGGAAUAGACCAUUUCGAUAGGUUGCCAGACUCUCUCCUCCUCCUUGUAUUCAACUAGAUCGUCGACGUUAAACCCCUCGACCGCUGCUCCCUAGUCUCCAAACGCUCCCCAGGUUGAAGAUGAUUCUCCUAUUCCUACUCCUCCUCCACUUCUUCCUCCAAAUCCCACACCCCCUUUUCCCCCUCUUCCGAUUAGUCUUCAGCAACACCGUUAAACCCCUCCAAUCUCUCACUCUAGAUCUUUUCAUUCACUCCGCGCCUUUACUAUAGCAGGAAGGAAACGAUUGAGGACGGCCGCCCAGAAAUCUGGGCUAGCCGCUGAGUGAAGGCCCACCCUCAUCGCAUAAUCAUCCUCAUGACUAAAAUCUUUUUCUCCCUAUAGGAUUGUAUAUGUGUACAUAUACAAACCCAAAUUUUUGGGUUUGAUUCUCAAUUAUGAUUCCAUGAGAAUAAUUGAUUGUAUUUUUAAUUGGGAGUUAUGAGCGGAGGUUGUGGGCGUAUUGAUGGUGAUGGUUAUUUGCUGACGAGUAGAAGUGAUUCACGAUGAUGGUGAAAAAAAGUUUCGCUCGGUGGUGAAGUAGUGGUGGUUGAAAAUUGCUUUUUUUAGAGGUUGUGGGCAUAUUGCUUGAGUAGUAGCAGCAGUGGUGGUGGUGGUUCUUUGUUUCAAUAGUAUAAUAGUUUAAUGAUCCAAUUGACAAAAUUGGAAGGUAAAUCACUAAAGUGGAAUAUAGCCAAUGGUUUAGGGUAGUAAUUUAUAUUUAAGCUUAAAAAAUCGACAAUUCUCGGCAAGUUCUAGGCUCAACUGGUAGAAUCAAAAUUCCAACAGAAAUAUACAAGGUUGAUGCAAUAUUUGGCUUUCACUAAACUAGCCAGAACAUGAGAGCAAUAUUUGAUUUGGAAAGAUUUAG
Molecule: long non-coding RNA, 19308 nt
Filed under: Panax ginseng (ginseng)
Lineage: Eukaryota; Viridiplantae; Streptophyta; Magnoliopsida; Apiales; Araliaceae
Description: long non-coding RNA (PGIN_LNC009408)
Source: RNAcentral